Molecule: long non-coding RNA, 623 nt
Organism: Oncorhynchus keta (chum salmon)
Lineage: Eukaryota; Metazoa; Chordata; Actinopteri; Salmoniformes; Salmonidae
Exons: 3
Source: RefSeq, a predicted model, not a curated record
CACACACAACACAGAGAACUACAACCGUGUCGGAGAACCUCUGCCGUUCCACAACAAACAAUGUGCCUUGUGCUGAGUCAGCUUACAUCAAUAUGUUACUAUGGUUACACCAGCAGUAGGUCAUGUGAUCUGACUGUUGACACAGCUUAUGUCAAUAUGUUACCAUGGUUACACCAGCAGUAGGUCAUGUGAUCUGACUGUUGAUACAGCUUAUGUCAAUAUGUUACCAUGGUUACACCAGCAGUAGGUCAUGUGAUCUGACUGUUGAUACAGCUUAUGUCAAUAUGUUACCAUGGUUACACCAGCAGUAGGUCAUGUGAUCUGACUGUUGAUACAGCUUAUGUCAAUAUGUUACCAUGGUUACACCAGCAGUAGGUCAUGUGAUCUGACUGUUGAUACAGCUUAUGUCAAUAUGUUACCAUGGUUACACCAGCAGUAGGUCAUGUGAUCUGACUAGCUCUGGAAUGCAGUGGUUAGGAGUGUCUGAUAAAUGACUAAGGGGAAAUGGCGUCCUGUUCUCUGUGCUUCACUGUUGACCAGAGCUCUGUGGGCCCUGGACAGAGGUAGGUACUCUAUAGGGGAGCUUUUGAGACGCAGACUAAGCUGGGAUGUAAAACAUCACC